UGGGGAAUAUUGCGCAAUGGGCGAAAGCCUGACGCAGCUACGCCGCGUGGGUGAUGAAGGCCUUCGGGUUGUAAAGCCCUGUCGGGAGGGAAGAAGCAAUGACGGUACCUCCCAAGAAAGCACCGGCUAACUCCGUGCCAGCAGCCGCGGUAAUACGGAGGGUGCAAGCGUUGCUCGGAAUCAUUGGGCGUAAAGCGUACGCAGGCUGUUCGUUAAGUCGGGUGUGAAAGCCCGGGGCUCAACCCCGGAAAUGCGCCCGAGACUGGCGAGCUUGAGUGCGGGAGAGGGAAGCGGAAUUCCUGGUGUAGAGGUGAAAUUCGUAGAUAUCAGGAGGAACACCGGUGGCGAAAGCGGCUUCCUGGCCCGACACUGACGCUCAUGUACGAAAGCGUGGGGAGCAAACAGG
This 406-nucleotide ribosomal RNA is filed under the name uncultured bacterium. RNAcentral's name for it is "bacterial SSU rRNA". It matches the Rfam family "Bacterial small subunit ribosomal RNA", at positions 355 to 776 of the family's 1533-position model. The record is from RNAcentral.